RNAcentral lists this ribosomal RNA (292 nucleotides) under uncultured bacterium. Its description in RNAcentral is "partial 16S ribosomal RNA". It matches the Rfam family "Bacterial small subunit ribosomal RNA", at positions 505 to 796 of the family's 1533-position model. The record is from RNAcentral.
GUGCCAGCAGCCGCGGUAAUACGGGGGGUGCUAGCGUUAAUCGGAUUUAUUGGGCGUAAAGGGCGCGCAGGCGGCUCUAUAAGUCAGAUGUGAAAGCCCGGGGCUCAACCCCGGAAGUACAUUUGAUACUAUGGAACUUGAGUAUGGGAGAGGGAAGUGGAAUUCCUGGUGUAGCGGUGAAAUGCGUAGAUAUCAGGAGGAACACCGGUGGCGAAGGCGACUUCUUGGACCAAUACUGACGCUGAGGCGCGAAGGCGUGGGGAGCAAACAGGAUUAGAAACCCCGGUAGUCC